This 481-nucleotide ribosomal RNA is filed under the name uncultured bacterium. Its description in RNAcentral is "partial 16S ribosomal RNA". It matches the Rfam family "Bacterial small subunit ribosomal RNA", at positions 28 to 507 of the family's 1533-position model. The record is from RNAcentral.
GAUGAACGCUGGCGGCGUGCUUAACACAUGCAAGUCGAACGAAGCACUUUAUUUGAUUUCCUUCGGGACUGAUUAUUUUGUGACUGAGUGGCGGACGGGUGAGUAACGCGUGGGUAACCUGCCUUGUACAGGGGGAUAUCAGUUGGAAACGGCUGCUAAUACCGCAUAAGCGCACGGCAUCGCAUGAUGCAGUGUGAAAAACUCCGGUGGUAUAAGAUGGACCCGCGUUGGAUUAGCUAGUUGGUGAGGUAACGGCCCACCAAGGCGACGAUCCAUAGCCGACCUGAGAGGGUGACCGGCCACAUUGGGACUGAGACACGGCCCAAACUCCUACGGGAGGCAGCAGUGGGGAAUAUUGCACAAUGGGCGAAAGCCUGAUGCAGCGACGCCGCGUGAGCGAAGAAGUAUUUCGGUAUGUAAAGCUCUAUCAGCAGGGAAGAUAAUGACGGUACCUGACUAAGAAGCACCGGCUAAAUACGUG